This 484-nucleotide ribosomal RNA is filed under the name uncultured bacterium. RNAcentral's name for it is "partial 16S ribosomal RNA". It matches the Rfam family "Bacterial small subunit ribosomal RNA", at positions 30 to 507 of the family's 1533-position model. The record is from RNAcentral.
AUUGAACGCUGGCGGCAGGCCUAACACAUGCAAGUCGAGCGGAUGAAGGGAGCUUGCUCCUGGAUUCAGCGGCGGACGGGUGAGUAAUGCCUAGGAAUCUGCCUGGUAGUGGGGGAUAACGUCCGGAAACGGGCGCUAAUACCGCAUACGUCCUGAGGGAGAAAGUGGUGGAUCUUUGGACCUCGAGCUAUCAGAUGAGCCUAGGUCGGAUUAGCUAGUUGGUGGGGUAAAGGCCUACCAAGGCGACGAUCCGUAACUGGUCUGAGAGGAUGAUCAGUCACACUGGAACUGAGACACGGUCCAGACUCCUACGGGAGGCAGCAGUGGGGAAUAUUGGACAAUGGGCGAAAGCCUGAUCCAGCCAUGCCGCGUGUGUGAAGAAGGUCUUCGGAUUGUAAAGCACUUUAAGUUGGGAAGAAGGGCAGUAAGUUAAUACCUUGCUGUUUUGACGUUACCAACAGAAUAAGCACCGGCUAACUUCGUG